RNAcentral lists this long non-coding RNA (353 nucleotides) under Cucumis sativus (cucumber). RNAcentral's name for it is "long non-coding RNA (CSAT_LNC001650)". Lineage: Eukaryota; Viridiplantae; Streptophyta; Magnoliopsida; Cucurbitales; Cucurbitaceae. The record is from RNAcentral.
ACGAGGAGUGGAGUACGGAGUUGGCCAACAAAUUUUCUAUAUUGAAUUAGAGAAAAAAAAAGUAUAGAAUUUCUGUUUUCCUAGUCCACAGAGACGUCAACUGUUUAAGUGGGGGAGAAUGUCAUGGUCAUACUUGUCCAAGGCGUGUUUGUCUAUGGUCGUAUGCCCGAUUACCUCCAAUUUAUAUUAUCUUUAUGUCUUGUAUUUAGUUUAGCUAGUUGCUUUCCAUUUUAAGUUAUAAAGUUUGGGUGUGACAUUUCGGCAUUUUCAUAUGCAAGUCUAUCAGAGCUGAAAAUGUUUAAAAUGUACUAUAGAGGAGAUAUACUAUUUGAAUCCCUGUCCAAGUAUUGUCG